RNAcentral lists this ribosomal RNA (591 nucleotides) under uncultured bacterium. Its description in RNAcentral is "bacterial SSU rRNA". It matches the Rfam family "Bacterial small subunit ribosomal RNA", at positions 288 to 871 of the family's 1533-position model. The record is from RNAcentral.
UGGUUUGAGAGGACGAACAGCCACACUGGGACUGAGACACGGCCCAGACUCCUACGGGAGGCAGCAGUGGGGAAUAUUGGACAAUGGGCGAAAGCCUGAUCCAGCAAUGCCGCGUGUGUGAAGAAGGCCUGCGGGUUGUAAAGCACUUUAGUUGGGGAAGAAGUGCUGCUUUUAAAUAGAGAGCAGUAUUGACGUCACCCAAAGAAUAAGCACCGGCUAACUCUGUGCCAGCAGCCGCGGUAAUACAGAGGGUGCAAGCGUUAAUCGGAAUUACUGGGCGUAAAGCGCACGUAGGUGGUUAUUUAAGUCGGAUGUGAAAUCCCUGGGCUUAACCUGGGCAUUGCAUACGAUACUGGGUAGCUAGAGUAUGGUAGAGGAAAGUGGAAUUUCCGGUGUAGCGGUGAAAUGCGUAGAUAUCGGAAGGAACACCAGUGGCGAAGGCGGCUUUCUGGACUAAUACUGACACUGAGGUGCGAAAGCGUGGGUAGCGAACAGGAUUAGAUACCCUAGUAGUCCACGCCGUAAACGAUGAGAACUAGCUGUUGGAAUGUUAAUACAUUUUAGUAGCGAAGCUAACGCGUUAAGUCUCCG